CCUACGGGUGGCAGCAGUGGGGAAUAUUGGACAAUGGGGGAAACCCUGAUCCAGCGACGCCGCGUGAGUGAAGAAGUAUUUCGGUACGUAAAGCUCUAUCAGCAGGAAAGAAAAUGACGGUACCUGACUCAGAAGCCCCGGCUAACUACGUGCCAUCAGCCGCGGUAAUACGGAGGGGGCAAGCGUUAUCCGGAUUUACUGGGUGUAAAGGGAGCGUAGUCGGCAGCGCAAGUAUGGAGUGAAAUGCCGAGGCCCAACCCCGGAACUGCUCUGGAAACUGUGAAGCUGGAGUGCAGGAGAGGUAGGCGGAAUGCAUGGUGUAGCGGUGAAAUGCGUAGAGAUCAGGAGGAACACCGGCGGCGAAGGCGGCUUACUAGACUGUAACUGACGUUGAGGCUCGAAGGCGUGGGGAGCAAACAGGAUUAGAUACCCGGGUAGUC
This 440-nucleotide ribosomal RNA is filed under the name uncultured bacterium. RNAcentral describes it as "partial 16S ribosomal RNA". It matches the Rfam family "Bacterial small subunit ribosomal RNA", at positions 338 to 795 of the family's 1533-position model. The record is from RNAcentral.